RNAcentral lists this transfer RNA (75 nucleotides) under Arachidicoccus ginsenosidivorans. RNAcentral's name for it is "Sphingobacteriaceae bacterium Gsoil 809 tRNA". It matches the Rfam family "tRNA". Rfam says of the family: Transfer RNA (tRNA) molecules are approximately 80 nucleotides in length. RNAcentral also lists the same sequence under 2 other names. Lineage: Bacteria; Pseudomonadati; Bacteroidota; Chitinophagia; Chitinophagales; Chitinophagaceae. The record is from Rfam by way of RNAcentral.
GGGAGUUUAGCUCAGUUGGUUUAGAGCAUCUGCCUUACAAGCAGAGGGUCGGGGGUUCGAGCCCCUCAACUCCCA